AAAAUGACAAACCCUGAGUUUCCGUGUCCAACGUUUGACCGUCCGUCUUAUUUGAAAAUAAUAUGAAAAAAAUUAAAAAGACAAGUUACGCAUAAAGUAUUAAUCAUGUUUUAUCAUCUAACAACAAUGAAAAUACUAAUUAUAAAAAAACAUCAUAUAAAACGGAUAGUCAAAUGUUGGACACGGAAACUCAGGUUGUCUUUUUU
Oryza rufipogon (brownbeard rice) is the source of this 206-nucleotide microRNA precursor. It matches the Rfam family "MIR812 microRNA precursor family". Lineage: Eukaryota; Viridiplantae; Streptophyta; Magnoliopsida; Poales; Poaceae. The record is from Rfam.